Molecule: ribosomal RNA, 253 nt
Filed under: uncultured bacterium
Lineage: Bacteria
Description: partial 16S ribosomal RNA
Rfam family: Archaeal small subunit ribosomal RNA
Source: RNAcentral
UACCAGCACCCCGAGUGGUCGGGACGUUUAUUGGGCCUAAAGCAUCCGUAGCCGGUUCUGCAAGUCUUCCGUUAAAUCCACCUGCUUAACAGAUGGGCUGCGGAAGAUACUAUAGGGCUAGGAGGCGGGAGAGGCAAGCGGUACUCAGUGGGUAGGGGUAAAAUCCUCUGAUCCACUGAAGACCACCAGUGGCGAAGGCGGCUUGCCAGAACGCGCUCGACGGUGAGGGAUGAAAGCUGGGGGAGCAAACCGG